This 864-nucleotide ribosomal RNA is filed under the name uncultured bacterium. RNAcentral describes it as "bacterial SSU rRNA". It matches the Rfam family "Bacterial small subunit ribosomal RNA", at positions 622 to 1500 of the family's 1533-position model. The record is from RNAcentral.
UGCCAUUGAAACUGGCGAACUUGAGUACAGUAGAGGUAGGCGGAAUUCGUGGUGUAGCGGUGAAAUGCUUAGAUAUCACGAAGAACUCCGAUUGCGAAGGCAGCUUGCUGGACUGUAACUGACGCUGAGGCACGAAAGCGUGGGGAUCAAACAGGAUUAGAUACCCUGGUAGUCCACGCCGUAAACGAUGAAUGCUAGCUGUUAGCGAUAUACUGUUAGCGGCACAGAGAAAUCGUUAAGCAUUCCACCUGGGGAGUACGCCGGCAACGGUGAAACUCAAAGGAAUUGACGGGGGCCCGCACAAGCGGAGGAACAUGUGGUUUAAUUCGAUGAUACGCGAGGAACCUUACCUGGGCUUAAAUUGCAGUGGAAUAACGUGGAAACAUGUUAGCCUUCGGGCCGCUGUGAAGGUGCUGCAUGGUUGUCGUCAGCUCGUGCCGUGAGGUGUCGGCUUAAGUGCCAUAACGAGCGCAACCCUCAUCGAUAGUUACUAACAGGUUAAGCUGAGGACUCUAUCGAGACUGCCGACGUAAGUCGUGAGGAAGGUGGGGAUGACGUCAAAUCAGCACGGCCCUUACGUCCAGGGCUACACACGUGUUACAAUGGGGGGUACAAAGGGCAGCUACCUGGCGACAGGAUGCUAAUCUCAAAAACCUCUCUCAGUUCGGAUUGGAGUCUGCAACCCGACUCCAUGAAGCUGGAUUCGCUAGUAAUCGCGCAUCAGCCACGGCGCGGUGAAUACGUUCCCGGGCCUUGUACACACCGCCCGUCAAGCCAUGGGAGCCGGGGGGACCUGAAGUAUGCAACCGUAAGGAGCGUCCUAGGGUAAAACUGGUGACUGGGGCUAAGUCGUAACAAGGUACC